This 253-nucleotide ribosomal RNA is filed under the name uncultured bacterium. RNAcentral describes it as "partial 16S ribosomal RNA". It matches the Rfam family "Bacterial small subunit ribosomal RNA", at positions 524 to 776 of the family's 1533-position model. The record is from RNAcentral.
UACAGAGGUCUCAAGCGUUGUUCGGAUUCAUUGGGCGUAAAGGGUGCGUAGGCGGCGCGGUAAGUCGGGUGUGAAAUCUCGGGGCUUAACUCCGAAACUGCAUUCGAUACUGCCGUGCUUGAGGACUGGAGAGGAGACUGGAAUUUACGGUGUAGCGGUGAAAUGCGUAGAUAUCGUAUGGAAGACCAGUGGCGAAGGCGGGUCUCUGGACAGUUCCUGACGCUGAGGCACGAAGGCCAGGGGAGCAAACGGG